CCUACCACAACUCAGUCCAAGUAAAUUAGGUAAAUGUCUGAGCAAAAUGUAACUACUUGCCUCAUCUAGCAUUUUCAAAAACGUAGGAUUGCACAUGGUUUUAACCUUCCAAAAUGGGCCUUUAACGCUUUGCUCGGAGACUGAUUUCUCGGCAAGCUGCAAAUGGCCGAGGAACAGUCGCCUUUCCAAGAUGAGAAAGUAAAUCAUGGCUUCUUUGGAGAAACGGUUUGCGUCCUUCUAGCGGGAUUUGAAAAAUAGUAUUAUCUGCGAUCCAUGCUCUACUGUCACCAACAGACGAACAAUCGGCGGUUUAGGUUCAGAUCUCGUCUCGUAGACGUUGGUUUUCUGUUUGUUGGCUGUGAUAUAGCUUUACUCGCUGACUGCGUAAAAUACCAAUCCUCUCUCUCCCUUUUUUUUUUUCAUCAUCACUACUGAAGCAGUAGACACUUGUCGCCUAAGAGUAGGUAAGGAUGGCCUUCCCCAUCAAAACGCGAUCCAGAGCUUCAGACUAUGGACGAGUGGAUUAUUACAAACCAUAGCUCUUGCAUUCUUUGAAAGUGUAUUAGUAAGUCCAAAAUAUACCUAUAGGAACAAAUAACUGAUUAAAUACAUGCACUCUAGCUGCUGUUUAUCUUUCUUUCUCGCUCUUGCUCAGUCGUUCUUGUGCAUGCUGGUCUGCACCUUGGACCUGGCUCAUUAGCUCUGAAUAUCUUUCUCAAAUAUUCUUUGUCUGUCUUGGCCCUGCCUCUCCCUCUCUUCCCUUUCCGCACAUUUCUUAAUGCCGCACGCCGUGAGCCGAGUAACAAGAAUAUCGACGACACGGCUAGCCAAUCUGUCAGCGAGGGGAAGAUGAC
Molecule: long non-coding RNA, 854 nt
Organism: Pomacea canaliculata
Lineage: Eukaryota; Metazoa; Mollusca; Gastropoda; Architaenioglossa; Ampullariidae
Exons: 3
Source: RefSeq, a predicted model, not a curated record